AGAUGGAUUCUGAGACACGAAUCCAGGCCCUACGGGGCGCAGCAGGCGCGAAAACUUUACAAUGCGAGAAAUCGUGAUAAGGGAACCCCGAGUGCCCGUAAAUUCGGGCUGUCCGCCAGUGCAAAUAGCUGGUGAAGAAAGGGCCGGGCAAGACCGGUGCCAGCCGCCGCGGUAAUACCGGCGGCUCGAGUGGUGGCCACUAUUACUGGGCUUAAAGCGUCCGUAGCUUGAUUGUUAAGUCUCUUGGGAAAUCCACCGGCUCAACCGAUGGGCGUUCAGGAGAAACUGGCAAUCUAGGGACCGGGAGAGGUGAGAGGUACUCCAGGGGUAGGAGUGAAAUCCUGUAAUCCUUGGGGGACCACCUGUGGCGAAGGCGUCUCACUAGAACGGCUCCGACAGUGAGGGACGAAAGCUGGGGGAGCAAACCGGAUUAGAUACCCGGGUAGUCCCAGCUGUAAACGAUGCGCGUUAGGUGUAUCGGUGACCACGAGUCAUCGAGGUGCCGAAGGGAAACCGUGAAACGU
Molecule: ribosomal RNA, 524 nt
Filed under: uncultured archaeon
Lineage: Archaea
Description: bacterial SSU rRNA
Rfam family: Archaeal small subunit ribosomal RNA
Source: RNAcentral